GGUAGGGAGGGUUCUGUCAGGUACUACUCCCUUCCUUAAUGAGCAGGAGGCACCUCUCUGGCUGGGAUUGGAUUUGCCAAUACUGACAGAACCAGGGCUGCUCACACAGCGCAUGGUCCAGGAGGAGAGGCACCCAGAGGGAUCACACGAGUGAGAUCGAGCUGGGAUUUGGUUCUUGUCCUUCACAAGCAGAAGGUGCUUUGGGCGCUGCGUGCUGCAUGCCAGCGGAUGAGAUACGGCCCGCGUCCCGCCCGGCCCUGCCAGGGGCAGCGCCGGCCCCAUCCCCACGGCCACGGCCAGAGCUGCCUGUGUGGGAAGGGGAAAUUGCUCCCACGGCAAAGGGAAAUAAACAUGAGGAGAGCAGCCCUGACAAAAAGCGUGUGUUCCUCUGCUCUGGGGCCCCGCUGCAGGCAAGGCCCGUGCACUGAGGCUGGGGAUGAGGGAGCGGAAGCUGGGCCUGCAGUGAUGUCUGCAAACUCCCUCUCAUUUACAGGGGUCCCUCCCUCCAGCUCUCAGCUCUCAGUGCCGAGAAAUCAGAGGAACCAGUGCCAGGGAGCUGUGGGGCAUGGAAAAGGUCUAACUGCCCAAAGCAUGGAGCCCAGCAGCUUGCCCGAAUGCUGGAAGGAGAAGGCAGCUCCGAUGCUGCUGCAGCUUCCCCGGCUGCCAGGGGAAGUAAUAGAAUCACCCAGGUUGGAGAAGAUCACCUGUAAGAUCAUCGAGUCAGUGCCUCCACAGGUCACGUCUCCUGCAGGGUGUUUGCACUGCUUCCCCAGCCCUGUGGGCUGUGGUGGACUUGGGGUGCCAGAUUCAGGGUGAGGGGCACGCCAGGGCAGGUCUCUGGGGUGCAGGUUGGAAGGGCCAGCACAGACAGCCCUGUCUGCCAGGAGGAUGCUGGUCAUUGCUGUAAGGUCAACCUUAAAUAAUGGGAAUAAUAAAAAUAAGGCUGCCUGCA
RNAcentral lists this long non-coding RNA (952 nucleotides) under Junco hyemalis (dark-eyed junco). RNAcentral describes it as "lncRNA (ENSJHYG00000008635.1)". The record is from RNAcentral. Lineage: Eukaryota; Metazoa; Chordata; Aves; Passeriformes; Passerellidae.